GACGAACGCUGGCGGCGUGCUUAACACAUGCAAGUCGAACGCUGAAGCUUGGUGCUUGCACUGGGUGGAUGAGUGGCGAACGGGUGAGUAAUACGUGAGUAACCUGCCCUUGACUCAGGGAUAAGCCUGGGAAACUGGGUCUAAUACUGGAUAUGACAUGCCACUGCAUGGUGGUGUGUGGAAAGGGUUUUACUGGUUUUGGAUGGGCUCACGGCCUAUCAGCUUGUUGGUGGGGUAAUGGCCUACCAAGGCGACGACGGGUAGCCGGCCUGAGAGGGUGACCGGCCACACUGGGACUGAGACACGGCCCAGACUCCUACGGGAGGCAGCAGUGGGGAAUAUUGCACAAUGGGCGGAAGCCUGAUGCAGCGACGCCGCGUGAGGGAUGACGGCCUUCGGGUUGUAAACCUCUUUCAGCACGGAAGAAGCGAGAGUGACGGUACGUGCAGAAGAAGCGCCGGCUAACUACGUG
RNAcentral lists this ribosomal RNA (472 nucleotides) under uncultured bacterium. RNAcentral's name for it is "partial 16S ribosomal RNA". It matches the Rfam family "Bacterial small subunit ribosomal RNA", at positions 28 to 507 of the family's 1533-position model. The record is from RNAcentral.